AUUCCUGAUGUUUAAUUGGAAUCUCCUUUCUUGUCACUUGAAGCCAUUGGUUCAGGUCCUCUUCUUCAGAACAGGACAAACAAGCUUGCUCCAUCUUCCAUGUGACAGCCCUUCAAUAUUUGAAGAUGGCUAUCAUAUCUCUUCACAGUCUCCUUUUCCCCAGGCUAAACAUACCCAGCUCCUUCA
Molecule: non-coding RNA, 186 nt
Organism: Podarcis lilfordi (Lilford's wall lizard)
Lineage: Eukaryota; Metazoa; Chordata; Lepidosauria; Squamata; Lacertidae
Source: the annotation of a GenBank genome assembly